RNAcentral lists this ribosomal RNA (500 nucleotides) under uncultured bacterium. RNAcentral's name for it is "partial 16S ribosomal RNA". It matches the Rfam family "Bacterial small subunit ribosomal RNA", at positions 30 to 523 of the family's 1533-position model. The record is from RNAcentral.
AUUGAACGCUGGCGGCAUGCUUUACACACGCAAGUCGAACGGUAACAGGGUGCUUGCACCGCUGACGAGUGGCGAACGGGUGAGUAAUGCGUCGGAACGUGCCGAGUAGUGGGGGAUAACGCAGCGAAAGUUGUGCUAAUACCGCAUACGUACUGAGGUAGAAAGUGGGGGACCUUCGGGCCGCACGCCAUUCGAGCGGCCGACGUCUGAUUAGCUAGUAGGUGGGGUAAAGGCUCACCUAGGCGACGAUCAGUAGCGGGUCUGAGAGGAUGAUCCGCCACACUGGGACUGAGACACGGCCCAGACUCCUACGGGAGGCAGCAGUGGGGAAUUUUGGACAAUGGGAGAAAGCCUGAUCCAGCCAUGCCGCGUGUCUGAAGAAGGCCUUCGGGUUGUAAAGGACUUUUGUCAGGGAGGAAAUCCCUAGUGCUAAUAACACUGGGGGAUGACAGUACCUGAAGAAUAAGCACCGGCUAACUACGUGCCAGCCGCCGCCGUAA